CUUUAAAUGGGUAAGAAGCUCGGCACGCUGGCUUGGAGUCGGGCGUGGAAUGCGAGCCGCCUAUGGGCCACUUUUGGUAAGCAGAACUGGCGCUGCGGGAUGAACCGAACGCCGGGUUAAGGCGCCCGAUGCCGACGCUCAUCAGACCCCAGAAAAGGUGUUGGUCGAUAUAGACAGCAGGACAGUGGCCAUGGAAGUCGGAAUCCGCUAAGGAGUGUGU
Long non-coding RNA from Oncorhynchus gorbuscha (pink salmon), 220 nucleotides. RefSeq lists it as uncharacterized. The record is from RefSeq and is a predicted model, not a curated record. The transcript is spliced from 2 exons. Lineage: Eukaryota; Metazoa; Chordata; Actinopteri; Salmoniformes; Salmonidae.